RNAcentral lists this ribosomal RNA (557 nucleotides) under uncultured bacterium. RNAcentral's name for it is "bacterial SSU rRNA". It matches the Rfam family "Bacterial small subunit ribosomal RNA", at positions 8 to 523 of the family's 1533-position model. The record is from RNAcentral.
AGAGUUUGAUCCUGGCUCAAAACGAACGCUGGCGGCGUGGCUAAGGCAUGCAAGUCAAACGGAACUCUUUUGUCAGUAAUACUGUGAGAGUUUAGUGGCGGACGGGUGAGUAAUGCAUGGGUAACGUACCUUAGGCUCAGGGAUAGCGGCCCCCUUCGGGGAUUUAGCGAAAGUGCCGGGAAUACCUGAUAACAUCCAGAGGUCUCAUGGUUUCUGGAUCAGAGAUGGGGACCCUUCGGGGCCUGUCGGCCAAAGAUCGGCCCAUGUCCUAUCAGCUUGUUGGUGGGGUAAUGGCCUACCAAGGCUGCAACGGGUAGCCGGCGUGAGAGCGCGACCGGCCACAUCGGGACUGAUACACUGCCCGGACACCUACAGGUGGCUGCAGCAACGAAUAUUCCGCAAUGGGCGAAAGCCUGACGGAACGACGCCGCGUGGGGGAUGAAGUCCUUCGGGAUGUAAACUCCAAUAGUAUACCAGGAAGCAACCCGACCUAAUACGUCGGUGCGUUGACCAACAUACGAAAGGGGCGGCUAACUCCGUGCCACCAGCCGCGGUAA